UACGAAGGGGGCUAGCGUUGUUCGGAAUUACUGGGCGUAAAGCGUAUGCAGGCGGAUCGUUAAGUCGGGGGUGAAAUCCCGAGGCUCAACCUCGGAACUGCCUUCGAUACUGGCGACCUUCGAAUCCGGAAGAGGUGAGUGGAAUUCCUGGUGUAGCGGUGAAAUGCGCAGAUAUCAGGAGGAACACCAAUGGCGAAGGCAGCUCACUGGGACGGUAUUGACGCUGAGACGCGAAAGCGUGGGGAGCAAACAGG
Molecule: ribosomal RNA, 254 nt
Filed under: uncultured bacterium
Lineage: Bacteria
Description: partial 16S ribosomal RNA
Rfam family: Bacterial small subunit ribosomal RNA
Source: RNAcentral